UAGCUCGCCGUUGCCCCAAAUUCAGCUACAAAAUAAUUGCUACCGGUUCAAUCAAGCUUAAUCUUCAAGGAAUGGCUCGCCACUCUCCCAAAUUAAUUUCUCAGCCUUAGAUAUCCCACGAGAAAAAUCUUUCACCUAAAUAAUUAUUUCCCCCAAAUGGGUUUCUUCUUUAUGCAAUCUGAAAGAAGUUCUUCUUCUCCAUAUCUUAGGUUUUCAGUUUUCUCUUUAGGGUUGCUAAAUUAUGUCAUUUUCCGUCAACCAUCUCAUUAAAAUUUACUCUAACAGGAGAAAUUGGGUUUCAGAUAAUGUGCUUUCAGCUCCAAUAUAGUUGUGCUCCAUUAAGGAGGUCAGUAUGAUAUUGGUGGUUGGGAAGGCAAGGAGUAAACCAAUAUUGGGGUUGCACAGUUUAUAGCUUGUCUCACCAUGAGAGUCAUGAGAUGAUAAUGCAUGAUUCUCUAUAUUUUGGUCUGCUCGUGAUGAAGCAGUAUCUUGAAUCUUUUGGUACUUUCAAUGGAGUAAGAGGGAGACAUUGGCAAGCAUUCUCUAGAUUGUGUAUUACAUGGUUCAACUUUUACAUCAGUUUUAGAAACUAUUCCUUUUUUGUAAUCCAUUGAAUGAUAGAAACAAGUACAAAAUAAUCUUGAUGUUGAACCUCUUUUUGUAAUCUUGUAGUUGUAUAAAAAAUACAAACAAUAAUUUCAGGCAUAGGCCCGUGCACAACAUGGGCACCAACUACCUUGUUUUUGCAAGAGCAUCCCAAAUUUAUGUGUGCCAAAGAAAACAAGGAAAUUAAUCUUAAUUUCAUUUGGUUUCAGGCUAUUGAGUCUAAGUCUCUCCUAGAGGCGCAGGAUAUUGACACUUCUUAUUUUGCUAAGUAAUGCGUGAAGGCUACCAAGGAGGCAGCCUUUUAUUAGUACUUAUCCUUUUAUAUUAGCUUUGAAGCAUAUCAACUUAGUGAUGAAGUAAGGGAGUGAGGAGUAAUGAAGCGGAGGAAUAAAUGAUACUUUAUUUACUUAUUUAGUAUCUUGCUCCAAAAAAGUUGGGAAGAAGAGGGAAGUAUACCGUAUUCAGGUGUUCCUUUCCAUUGUUGUUCUUCAGGGUCAGAAGACUUGAAGCUACAUGUCAGGCAACAACUUUUCAAGAAUUGAUAUAAAUGAUAAAUUGGUUAUCUUUUUGUUGGUUGCUUAGGACAAUUACUUUUCUUGUUAAGUGGUUUUGUAAACAGUUCAUGGUUGUACAGUUACU
This is a long non-coding RNA of Lycium barbarum (goji berry), 1245 nucleotides long. RefSeq lists it as uncharacterized. The transcript is spliced from 7 exons. The record is from RefSeq and is a predicted model, not a curated record. Lineage: Eukaryota; Viridiplantae; Streptophyta; Magnoliopsida; Solanales; Solanaceae.